GCUGGUAGUGACUCCCUCUCUCCCUUUACAGGAGAAAGUUGUGGUAAUGUCCUCAUUCAGUCCUCAGCGUGACCUUUUAGCAGACCUGGUUAGUACCCAAUCUCCAAACAAAGCUCACCUGAGGAAGAUCCAUCACUUCAAGGACUUCCUUGAUAAGAUAUUUAUACUUGAUCCAAGCAAGAGACUCAGCAUCAAUCAAGCACUCCAGCACCCAUUCAUCAUUGAGAAACUAGACUAGUAGUACAUCAAUGUACUGUGUACUGAUAAUGCUAAUAAUAAUAAUAAUAAUGAACUAAUAAUUGUGACUUUUUAAUUUUAGAGUAAUUCCUGGUCUCCUCUCUCUUCUCUCUUCUCUAACGAGGUUGUCUGUCCUUGUUCUAACAGAUUAGCUCCUUUUGCUAAACCUGCCUUCAUAAUGAAGACACUCUCUUCAUAUUAUAGUGCUGCCUCUGCUGCACUAUAUGCUCUGUAUUGAGCUGAGGUCAUCAGUUUAUGCACUGCCUCAAGUUGAGUAGCAGUGGUCCAGAAUUCUUAAGUCUACCAAAGGAAGACUGUCUCUUACAA
This is a long non-coding RNA of Amphimedon queenslandica, 564 nucleotides long. RefSeq lists it as uncharacterized. Lineage: Eukaryota; Metazoa; Porifera; Demospongiae; Haplosclerida; Niphatidae. The record is from RefSeq and is a predicted model, not a curated record. The transcript has 3 exons.